UUUUUUUGCUUUUUAUUCAUGGCUUAGUUUUUUUUUUUUCAAACAUGCUUCUUCCUUCGCAGAUCUAUUUUGAAAGAGACUCUCUCUCUCUCCUCUCCUCUCCGUCGGAGGUGCUCUCGCCUCCAGCAAUGGCGGCCACUGACACCUAGUUCGAUCUCAGACCGUCGCCCCACUCCGCCUUCUCCGCCGGGGAGUACGCGUUCGCCGAUGCCGGAAACUUGGAGCACUGCGCUUGGUACUUGAACCAGACGCUUCGUCACUUUUGGCUUCCCGGCUUCCCUGGACCUCUUUGCCAGCGAUCCGGUGCGUUCUCGUUGCCCCCCACCCCAACGCCCCCUUUUUUUU
This is a long non-coding RNA of Syzygium oleosum, 345 nucleotides long. RefSeq lists it as uncharacterized. The transcript has 3 exons. The record is from RefSeq and is a predicted model, not a curated record. NCBI's taxonomy places the organism in Eukaryota, Viridiplantae, Streptophyta, Magnoliopsida, Myrtales, Myrtaceae.